Molecule: ribosomal RNA, 159 nt
Filed under: Rhexodenticula sp.
Lineage: Eukaryota; Fungi; Ascomycota; Sordariomycetes
Description: partial large subunit ribosomal RNA
Rfam family: Eukaryotic large subunit ribosomal RNA
Source: RNAcentral
CGGCAACAGCUCAAAUUUGAAAUCUGGCUUCGGCCCGAGUUGUAAUUUGUAGAGGAUGCUUUUGGCGCGGCCCCUUCUGAGUUCCCUGGAACGGGACGCCAUAGAGGGUGAGAACCCCGUACGUGGUCGGCAGCCGACGCCAUGUGAACGUCCUUCGAC